RNAcentral lists this long non-coding RNA (972 nucleotides) under Androctonus crassicauda. The record is from RNAcentral. Lineage: Eukaryota; Metazoa; Arthropoda; Arachnida; Scorpiones; Buthidae.
CUUUAUGGUAAAUAUAAGAACUAUCAGCAAAAGAAUAUUAAAAUAUGGAAUUUAAAAUUUUCAUUUAUUUUUUAUGUAUUUUUGAUUCCUGUAAAUUCUGUAAACUUUCAAUUGAAUUUAACGGAUAAAAACCAGUUUUUGUGAAGUUUAACCAGUAACCAAAAAUGGAAAACCAGUUUGUCUGGACUAAAACUAAACAAGUGGCAACACUACCAACAAUACUAGCAACUUUAAUGGUAAUGAAAUACCUGGUCAUUUGUUUUCUACUAAAUGUAAAAUUGUCCAAAUUUGAUUCCAUAUUCUUCAAAGUGGUAAAAUUGUUCAAAUUUGAAUCUAGCCACCAAUGUAGUAAAAUUGUCCAAAAUUCAACUCAGAUCCCAAGAUGAUUGCUUUAUUAUGCAGCCAUUGACUGAAUGUAAAUUUUUAGCCAUUUAUUUUAUCAAAAUAAUUUCCAAUCUUCCAUAGGCAAACUACCAUCUUAACUUUGAUAAAUUACUAAAUCAUUGUAAUUUAAUGAAGAUGGGUGAAAGCCCGGAAGUAAAAUCAUUAAAAUAUUUCUAGUUAAUAUGCUAUGAAAAUAGCCAAGUAUGGAAUAUCAAAAGGGGCAGUUAUAAAUUUGGAGUAUCAUAAGUCAAAUGAUCUUAAAUACAGGAGUGCCUAUACUGAUUUUGUUAAUCUUUACUUAUUUUAUUAUGGCUAAAUUUCAUUGGUGAGAACAAAACUUUUGUUUUUAAUAUUAUAUCUAUGGGAAACUGAUUGAUUCUUGGUUUUAUGAAUUCUUUGAGUGCAUUCCAGGAAUGAAUUUGUCAAAUCUGGAGCUAUUUAGAUAGCAUAUAAUGCUAUUAUGAGACCCAGUCCCUGCAUUUUUGAACUUUUAACAUCUCUCUAAAUUGCAUUUUAGUACCUGAGACUAUUUUUUUUUUGCUCUCUCUCCCCUUUCAGCAAACACAUCUCUCUUAAUUUUCACUGCAC